UGGCACAGUGGUUAAGCAUUUGGCUGUUAACCAAAAGAUCGGGGGUUCAAAUCCACC
Molecule: transfer RNA, 57 nt
Filed under: Loxodonta africana (African savanna elephant)
Lineage: Eukaryota; Metazoa; Chordata; Mammalia; Proboscidea; Elephantidae
Rfam family: tRNA
About the family: Transfer RNA (tRNA) molecules are approximately 80 nucleotides in length. Their secondary structure includes four short double-helical elements and three loops (D, anti-codon, and T loops).
Source: Rfam by way of RNAcentral